RNAcentral lists this ribosomal RNA (460 nucleotides) under uncultured bacterium. Its description in RNAcentral is "partial 16S ribosomal RNA". It matches the Rfam family "Bacterial small subunit ribosomal RNA", at positions 338 to 795 of the family's 1533-position model. The record is from RNAcentral.
CCUACGGGUGGCAGCAGUGAGGAAUAUUGGUCAAUGGGCGCGAGCCUGAACCAGCCAAGUCGCGUGAGGGAUGAAGGUUCUAUGGAUCGUAAACCUCUUUUAUAAGGGAAUAAAGGGUGGGACGUGUCCUAUUUUGUAUUUACGUUAUGAAUAAGGAUCGGCUAACUCCGUGCCAGCAGCCGCGGUAAUACGGAGGAUCCGAGCGUUAUCCGGAUUGAUUGGGUUUAAAGGGUGCGUAGGCGGCUGUUUAAGUCAGCGGUGAAAGUCUGUGGCUCAACCAUAGAAUUGCCGUUGAUACUGGGGGGCUAGAGUAUGUUUGAGGCAGGCGGAAUGCGUGGUGUAGCGGUGAAAUGCGUAGAUAUGACGAAGAAUACCGAUGGCGAAGGCAGCCUGCCAAGCCAUGACUGACGCUGAUGCGCGAAAGCGUGGGGAGCAAACAGGAUUAGAUACCCUAGUAGUC